UAGGGAAUCUUCCACAAUGGACGAAAGUCUGAUGGAGCAACGCCGCGUGAGUGAAGAAGGGUUUCGGCUCGUAAAACUCUGUUGUUAAAGAAGAACAUAUCUGAGAGUAACUGUUCAGGUAUUGACGGUAUUUAACCAGAAAGCCACGGCUAACUACGUUCCAGCAGCCGCGGUAAUAAGCAGGUGGCAAGCGUUGUCCGGAUUUAUUGGGCGUAAAGCGAGCGCAGGCGGUUUUAUAAGUCUGAUGUGAAAGCCUUCGGCUCAACCGAAGAAGUGCAUCGGAAACUGGGAAACUUGAGUGCAGAAGAGGACAGUGGAACUCCAUGUGCAGCGGUGAAAUGCGUAGAUAUAUGGAAGAACACCAGUGGCGAAGGCGGCUGUCUGGUCUGUAACUGACGCUGAGGCUCGAAAGUAUGGGUAGCAAACAGG
Molecule: ribosomal RNA, 429 nt
Filed under: bacterium
Lineage: Bacteria
Description: partial 16S ribosomal RNA
Rfam family: Bacterial small subunit ribosomal RNA
Source: RNAcentral